CUAUCACGUUGGCGUCGUCGUCGUCGUCCGAAUACUUUUAGUUUUCGCACUCUAACUUUAGUAAAAGUGAAUAGAAAUCAAUGAAAUUUUAACAAAAGGUUUAUGACCACAAAAGGAAGGUUGGGAUUGAUUUUGAGAGUUUUGGUCCCAACAUUUUAGGAAUUAGGGGCCAAAAAGGGCCCAAAUAAGCAUUUUCUUGGUUUUCGCACUAUAACUUUAGUUUAAGUGAAUAGAAAUCUAUGAAAUUUUGACACAAGGUUUAUGACCACAAAAGGAAGGUUGGGAUUGAUUUUGGGAGUUUUGGUUCCAACAGUUUAGGAAUUAAGGGCCAAAAAAGGGCCCAAAUAAGCAUUAUUCUUGGUUUUCGCACAAUAACUUUAGUAUAAGUAAAUAGAAAUCAAUGAAAUUUUAACACAAGGUUUAUGACCACAAAAGGAAGGUUGGGAUUGAUUUUUGGAGUUGAGGUCACAACAGUUUAUGAAUUAGGGGCCAAAAAGGGGCCCAAAUAAGCAUUAUUUUUGGUUUUUGCACCAUAACUUUAGUAUAAGUAAAUAGAAAUCUAUGAAAUUUAAACACAAGGUUUAUGACCAUAAAAGGAAGGUUGGGUUUGAUUUUGGGAGUUUUGGUCCUAACAGUUUAGGAAUAAGGGGCCCAAAGGGUCCAAAAUUGAACUUUGUGUGAUUUCAUCAAAAAUUGAAUAAUUGGGGUUCUUUGAUAUGUCGAAUCUAACUAUGUAUGUAGAUUCUUAAUUUUUGGUCCCGUUUUCAAAUUGGUCUACAUUAAGGUCCAAAGGGUCCAAAAUUAAACUUAGUUUGAUUUUAACAAAAAUUGAAUCCUUGGGGUUCUUUGAUAUGCUGAAUUUAAAAAUGUAUUUAGAUUUUUAAUUAUUGGCCUAGUUUUCAAGUUGGUCCAAAUGCUUACUUGCUUAAUCCUGUUGCCCCUUGGUGGAGCAUAGGCCACUAACGAUAUUUCUCCACCUUGUUCUGUUCUUUGCUAGCCUCUCCAGAUUGUGCCACUUGUACCCUUCUUUCUCCAUCUCGGCUGCAACAUUCCUUCUCCAGGUGUAUCUUGGUCUGCCCCUGCUACGCUUUCCUUGUGGGUUCCACUGUAAGGCUUGCCUUGUAAUGUUAGUUUUUGGCUUCCUCAGUGUGUGUCCAAUCCAUCGCCAUUUUCUCUUUUUUAACUCUUCAUCAACUGGGGAUUGGUUGGUCUUUUCCCAAAGAUCUUUGUUUGAUAUCUUCUCAGGCCAUCUGAUGUUAAGGAUGCGCCUGAGGCAGUUGUUAAUGAAGACUUGAAGUUUAUGAAGCAGGUUUUUUGUUGUUUUCCAAGUCUCAGCUCCAUAUAAGAGAAUGGUUUUUACGUUUGAAUUGAACAAGCGUAUUUUGGUCUUAAGUGUGAUAUUUCGUGCUUUCCAGAUUGACCCCAUCAUGUUAAAUGCAGUUCUGGCUUUGCCAAUUCUGAUCUUUACAUCUUUAUCUGAGCCGCCAAGAUUAUCCACUACGCUUCCAAGGUAUGUAAAGGAUUCCACUUCUUCUAAUGCUUGGGUGUUAACCAUCAGACUGGCUUGGGACUUUGUGUUUGACUUUAACACUUUGGUCUUGUUUUGAUUGAUGGAAAGGCCCGUUUCUGCUGCUCUUUUCAACCUGCUCUAGUUUGUCCUGCAUUUGUUGGUGGUUGUGGGAUAGCAAUGCAAUGUCAUCGGCAAAGUCUAGGUCAUCCAGCUGAGUGAACAUGGUCCAUUGGAUGCCAUUUCGUCUGCCAUCUGUGGCUUGCUUCAUGAUCCAAUCAACUGCCAGGAGGAAUAGCAUAGGUGAAAGGAGACAGCCUUGUCUUACCC
This 1837-nucleotide long non-coding RNA is filed under the name Mytilus galloprovincialis (Mediterranean mussel). The record is from RNAcentral. Lineage: Eukaryota; Metazoa; Mollusca; Bivalvia; Mytilida; Mytilidae.